Molecule: ribosomal RNA, 357 nt
Filed under: uncultured bacterium
Lineage: Bacteria
Description: bacterial SSU rRNA
Rfam family: Bacterial small subunit ribosomal RNA
Source: RNAcentral
GUGAGUAGUUCAGAGUUUGAUCCUGGCUCAGGACGAACGCUGGCGGCGUGCUUAACACAUGCAAGUCGAACGAAGCACUCUACUUGAUUUCCUUCGGGAAUGAUUGUUUUGUAACUGAGUGGCGGACGGGUGAGUAACGCGUGGGUAACCUGCCUCAUACAGGGGGAUAACAGUUGGAAACGGCUGCUAAUACCGCAUAAGCGCACAGCUUCGCAUGAAGUGGUGUGAAAAACUCCGGUGGUAUGGGAUGGACCCGCGUUGGAUUAGCUUGUUGGUGGGGUAACGGCCCACCAAGGCGACGAUCCAUAGCCGACCUGAGAGGGUGACCGGCCACAUUGGGACUGAGACACGGCCCAA